Molecule: non-coding RNA, 87 nt
Organism: Caligus rogercresseyi
Lineage: Eukaryota; Metazoa; Arthropoda; Copepoda; Siphonostomatoida; Caligidae
Source: the annotation of a GenBank genome assembly
UAUCUUUAGAAAAAGGCACUUUUUCGAACUUUCAAUCUUCUUUUUACUAGACAGGCGCUUUAACCAACUAAGCCACGGCGCCAUGAC